AUGAGCCAGCAAAUCCCGUCAGCAGAUGUUGGUGGCUCAAGCACUGCCUCAGUAGCAGCACCUUCACUCCCUCAAGUUGUUGAUUCGGAUGACCCUGCGUGGAAAUAUUGCACUCUUCCAGAUGUGAACAAGAAGCAUUGGCAGCGAUGCAACUAUUGUGGCAAGAUAUGCACAGCUGGCAUUACAAGGAUGAAGUUUCACAUUUCACAAAUAACGAAUUGUGGUGUCUUACCAUGCAAGAAGGUUCCUAGUGAUGUCAGGCUGGAGAUGAUAGCUUUGCUUCUGAAGAGUGCUGAGCUGAAGGAAAAAAAGGUCGAGGGAUUGGAGGCGCUCAGAUCUAGUGUUGACUUAGAUCACUCCGAUGGAGAACAAGAAACUGAUGAAGAAGAUGGCAAUCAUGUUGUGAUUUUGAGGUCAAAACCAGGCACAAGCAGCUCAAUGGGUGGCCCUAUGGACAAAUUCUGCAAGCCUGGUAUAGAAGAAACUGUCAAGAGGAAGCAAAAAAGAAAUUGUGAAUCCGAAAAGGUUCAGUCGAAGGUGUCAACUCAGCAAAGACAACAGAGGAGGGAUAGAGCUUGUGGAUAUAUAUGUCAAUUUUUCUAUGAAGCUAGCAUCCCACAUAACACUGUCACACUUCCUAGCUUUGCAUGUAUGCUUCAGGCCAUUGGAGAUGUUGGCACAAACUUCGAUGGGCCUACUGCAUAUGAGAUGAGUGGACCAUUCUUGCAGAAAAGGAAGAAGAAGGUGUUAGAUUCAUUCAAACCACAUAAGCAAGCAUGGGAGCACACAGGUUGUACCGUAAUGACAGAUGCAUGGACAGAUAAAAAGGGCAGGGGAGUAAUGGACCUAGUUGUGCAUAGUUCUCAAGGAGUCAUAUUCUUGAAUUCAGUUGAUUGUUCAUCUGUCCAAAAAAAUGGCAAAUACAUCUUUGACCUCGUUGAUAAUUGCAUCGAAGAUAUAGGGGCAGACAAAGUCGUUCAAGUGGUGACCGACAAUGCUAGUGUCAAUGUAGCAGCAGCAAGUCUAAUGAAAGCAAAGCGACCUUCCAUUUUUUGGAAUGGAUGUGCAACCCAUUGUAUUGAUCUCAUGUUGGAGGACAUAGGGAAGCUUGGAUCGGUUGACAAAAUAAUUGCCCAAGCAAGACAAGUAACGGUGUUCUUG
This 1161-nucleotide ribosomal RNA is filed under the name Triticum aestivum (bread wheat). RNAcentral describes it as "partial small subunit ribosomal RNA". Lineage: Eukaryota; Viridiplantae; Streptophyta; Magnoliopsida; Poales; Poaceae. The record is from RNAcentral.